AUGGAGGAGCCGCCGCCGCAGUACAAGUUCGGGCCGUACAAGAUCGACGCGAGGGAGGUCCUCCACGCCACGCCCCUCUCCUACGCCAUGGUCAACCUCCGCCCCCUCCUCCCUGGUCAUGUCCUCGUGUGCCCCAAACGCGAGGUGAAACGAUUUGCUGAUCUAAGUUCUGAUGAGACUAGUGAUUUGUGGGUAACUGCAAAAGAAGUUGGUGCAAAGCUCGAGCAGUACCACGAAGCUUCUUCCAUCACAUUCGCAAUUCAGGAUGGUCCUCAGGCUGGCCAAACAGUUGCCCAUGUCCACAUCCACGUCAUCCCCAGGAAGAAAGGAGAUUUUGAGAAAAACGAUGAAAUAUAUGAUGCGAUUGACGUGAAAGAGAAGGAAAUGAAGGAGAAGCUUGACCUGGACGUUGAAAGAAAAGAUAGAAGCAUGGAAGAAAUGGCUCAUGAGGCCACCGAGUACCGCGCUCUUUUCUCCUAG
This 480-nucleotide ribosomal RNA is filed under the name Triticum aestivum (bread wheat). Its description in RNAcentral is "partial small subunit ribosomal RNA". The record is from RNAcentral. Lineage: Eukaryota; Viridiplantae; Streptophyta; Magnoliopsida; Poales; Poaceae.